Long non-coding RNA from Peromyscus leucopus (white-footed mouse), 2380 nucleotides. RefSeq lists it as uncharacterized. Lineage: Eukaryota; Metazoa; Chordata; Mammalia; Rodentia; Cricetidae. The record is from RefSeq and is a predicted model, not a curated record. The transcript is spliced from 4 exons.
UCUGAGGUUCCUGGGCAGGACCACUUCCUUGAUGGCCAAGAGAUGUGUCCUGCCCUUCAUUUUCCUGUGUCUUCAAGCACGCAAGUACCUUCCCUGGAGUAGAAAUGUGGAUGUCUUGGCUUGAUCGGUCAAGAGACAGAGGCCAACCAGGCUCAGGACAGCACCGAUGCUAUGUUCGUUGAAGGGCCCCAUUGUCAGGAUUAGAAUCAUCGCUGUCUCCCCUAAAUAGAUAAUCCCUCAAAAUCAUUUCCAUGGGGAUACCACAGGCAUUGAAAAUAAAUACUGAGCGUAGGGCAGAGAGAAGCCCCAAAUGACAGGGAGAGAAUCUUUUCCUCGGCGGGGCAACUUUCCUUUCCAGGGUCGUAGGGGAACUGGGGAGCAGGACUGCUCGCCCUUGGGUGGCAGACAGGUGCCAUUGUUUGGGACAAAGGCGAAAUCUGCUUUUCAAGGUAAAGUGGGUUCUUGCCUGAUCUAGAGUGAAUCAAGAUGGGUCUAAACUGCCCAGAGGGCCAUGGUGCCAGGGGCUGGGGCAGGUAUCUCUUGUAGCUGGAGCACUCCCAGGCAGGAGCAGGGCUCCGUGUCCCAUUGCUCAUCUAGGGAGGAAGGAUGUGAAAGGAGAGCCCAGGAGGGUGUGUAGUGAGUAAGAGACCAAAUCUGAGGGAGGAGCUGGGCGAAUGUGUUCAUCCUCCAGCACUGGCUCCCUGCUUCCCAGGUGCUUUGUCCCUCCCUCUCAGGUCCAGUCAUUUACCUAGUGGACCAUCCUCCGUGUCUUCUUCCGGAGAACCCUGGAACUCAGGGAUUCGCGCUCUGUCUUGCAGUCCUCCCUCAGCUGUCAUGGCCUUCUCCCAGGGAGGCUGGGUACCCCCUAUGGUGAGGAGGCAGCCCAGCUUUAUGCCUGGACUCCCACUGCACCCGAAGCAGGCCUUUGGGUAAAGUAGGCCAUUCCCUCUUUUCUUAACUCUUUGUCUUCACACUGUUUUUGUGUUCCCAAAGUCAACAGGACAAGGGUCUCUGAAAUAUGUCCUUUAAAAGUCCCAUGGUAGUUUCCUGCUGAUGUCACACACCCGACAGGAGUCCUGUGGCUCAACACUCCCUCAGCCCCUCCCACUCUGUGCCGGCCCACCCACCAUCUCCACCCUCUGGGGUGUGAGCAGAAACCAAGAGAAUCCAGACACAGCAAAGUUCUCUCCACACGUGUCUUGGGAACAGCUGGCAUGGAGUUAAACCUGCAGUGAGGAUUCUGUUCAGACACUUGAUGACACCUGCAUCUUUGGGUCUUCCUCGAUGUGGGAGACACAGCACAGAGGCAUGCAGACCCAAACAAGGCAGGUGGGUCGAGGUGGGCGGCGGACACAGUUUAGAUGCUGGUGUCUGAGAGAGGCUUGGAGAUAAUUACACAUGGCCAGAGACUCCAGUCUUUUAGAGAUUUCUUUAAAGUAUUCCUGCAUGGUGGGUGCGGUACCCCAGAAGGGGAGGUGAAGUGGCCACCUGCCCUGGUGCCUUGGAGGAGGAGGACACUGAGGGACGGGGAGAGAGCAGAGCUGCAGAGCUGGUUCACAGUGGUUCAACUCCAUUUUGGAGGCAAAAAGGAGUUUCAAAGAGGUAUCUAUGUGUGGGUCUGCUCUAGACAUCUCUGAAGGAUCAGGGAUGACCAUCCCCAGGAGCUCAGAUUGGGGGCACCAAAUACAAGGAAGCUUGUCUGUCCAGAUCCUAUAAUGUCUGUUCACCCCGCAGGCAAAACCCGGUCACCAGCUGGUGAGAUCUGACUACUCUCCCUUCCUCUCUGCUCUGCAGGGCUCCUGCAGUCCACCUUUUCUUUGAACCUGCCUGGGAAUGGUUGGACACAGGGAUUGCAUAGCAUAUUUUGUCCCUAGGCUCCCCAACAGCUGCCUCAGCCCUUAAAAGGGCUUAUCUCUGGAAGUUCUUGAAGCAUGGUUGUUAUCUGAACCCCUUGGCUCUGGAGUCCAGCACCCACAUUUCACAGAGGAGAAACCCAAGGCCCAGAAUGGCUAGGGGUUGGGCCCAGAGUGGUCACGAGUCAGGGGACCCAGGUCCUCUGACACCUUCUCCAAGCGGCUCUCCGAUGGUCACUAAGGCCUUCGGUCCACAGGCAACGAACUGAGUGAGGUGACAUGUGAGGUGACAGGCACAUGGUCCAAGGACUUGACCUUUGCUUCUAAGCACUCUUCCUGGGUUACCACACAGCUUCGCUUGUAAGUCCAUUAACCAGAGGUGAACACACUUCUCUGAAUACCCAAUGGGCUGUGAAGUGUGCCCAAAGCCCAUAAAAAUAUAAUUCAGGUCAUAAAUUUAAUACAGUCGGGCUGAAUGACUGUACUAGCUCUAUUUCUAACCACUUAAUUAGCAAUGGUUUCAUUUA